AUACGGAGGGUGCAAGCGUUGUUCGGAAUCGCUGGGCGUAAAGGGCGCGCAGGCGGUUUGGUAAGUCAGAUGUGAAAGCCCACGGCUCAACCGUGGAAGUGCAUUUGAAACUGCCAGACUUGAGUACCAGAGGGGAAAGUGGAAUUCCCGGUGUAGAGGUGAAAUUCGUAGAUAUCGGGAGGAAUACCGGUGGCGAAGGCGACUUUCUGGCUGGAUACUGACGCUGAGGCGCGAAAGCGUGGGGAGCAAACAGGAUUAGAAACCCUAGUAGUCC
This 274-nucleotide ribosomal RNA is filed under the name uncultured bacterium. RNAcentral's name for it is "partial 16S ribosomal RNA". It matches the Rfam family "Bacterial small subunit ribosomal RNA", at positions 523 to 796 of the family's 1533-position model. The record is from RNAcentral.